This 254-nucleotide ribosomal RNA is filed under the name uncultured bacterium. Its description in RNAcentral is "partial 16S ribosomal RNA". It matches the Rfam family "Bacterial small subunit ribosomal RNA", at positions 524 to 776 of the family's 1533-position model. The record is from RNAcentral.
UACGUAGGGGGCGAGCGUUGUCCGGAUUUAUUGGGCGUAAAGAGCUCGUAGGCGGCUUGGCAAGUAGGGUGUGAAACCUCCAGGCUCAACCUGGAGACGCCACUCGAUACUGCCAUGGCUAGAGUACUGUAGGGGCAGGCGGAAUUCCGGGUGUAGCGGUGGAAUGCGUAGAGAUCCGGAGGAAGACCGGUGGCGAAGGCGGCCUGCUGGGCAGUUACUGACACUGAGGCGCGACAGCGUGGGGAGCAAACAGG